UUCAUUGAUGUGCCGGCCGGCCGGUUAGUCACUCAAAUGGGUCAGUCUAGUGAUCGACAAUAACACGCGCGAUAUUACGAACUAUUUCGAGUUAAAAUAUAACGACUAUGACAGUUGGCUAUGUUGUUUUGACAAGCGGUGCAGUUGUAGAGCACAAAGAUUUAUACAGUAGAGUAUUUUCUUUUGAAUUGUGAUGCUGUUAAUUGUUGUGUAGUGCUUAAAAGUGCAAUGGUGUGGUGAAAUGCUUGUGGGGGAGCAGUCGCCGGCACCGCGGGUGGUGGCCGGAUUAAGAAAACUCCGCCCUGAAUUGACUCCAGGACCAAUACCAACUCUAAUAGACCCUAACAUAAGGAUAUCAGGUGCACUCCGUCAGUAUUACAACGAUGAUCUCGAGUCGUGGGUGUGGGUGCAAGUGGCCGUCCAAGGCGGGUGCUUGCUGGCGUGGCGAGACGGCACCCUGCCGAGGAGGCAGGCGGCGAGGCUGCCCCUACGUCACCUACAUCUUCGGACAGCGCCGAUGCUUCCCAACGCGUUCCAACUGUCGAGACUCCGUGACGACAUUGCCGUUGCCACAUUUCAGGCUUGCAAUGCGGCUGAAUACACGAGAUGGGUACGCGCGUUGUGCGUCGAGAUCUUAGGCCAGACGCCACUACCACAAGUUCGAUUUCUGGACGUGUUACCAGCGGCUGAUACCGCUAAUCGAGAACCAAAGAAAGAGGCCCCCCAAGAGGAGACGCCGUCAUGCCCUCCCAAACCCCCUCCGCGAGCCCGUCGGAGGUUACUAACAUCGACAGAGACUCAGUUAACGCGGAGGGAUCAUUCACCGGCCGCCACGGACGAAGGCAUCGUCGUAGAAGACGACGACUACGACUCUUCGUCCGAUCGCAGCCUCGACCUGACCCUUUCCCUUGACGCCUUAAAGACUACCGACGUGGUCGACGCGCCGGAUCGGAAAACCAAGGUCGUCAUCAAAUGUGACAGCUGUAGCAAACUGAACGCUGGCUCGGCGGUGUCGCAGCAGCACCACACUCUGCCGCGAGCCGCGAGAUCUGAGUCUGAGCAAGGUCGGCGUUACUUGAAGCGAUGGGAGGGUACGGCCGGCGGCGCGGAGCGGGGUCGUCACGCGAUCGAAGCGGCGAGACGGAAGACUGCGUCGUUGGAGACUAGAGCGAGGUCGUGUUCCCCGAACGCACACGAAGCGGUGGCGCAGUACGUGCCGGUCAAGGAACGCCGGGCGCUGUUUGAAUCGUUAUCUCGACACGGUGGGAGUCUAGCUAGGAGUACCGAGCAGCUGACGCGACCCGUGGUCCCGUCUGAGACGACGCCCCGGCGUGCCGCGUCGCUGCACGACUUGCAGGCGCCGCCGACGCGAUCAGUGAGCGAUCUUCGCCAGUUCUUCGAGGCGGUAGCGCGAGGCGCGGGCCCCGGUUGCGGCACGAGCGCCCGGCACAGCGCUCCGCCCGAAGCCCUGCCCUCGCUGACGUGCGCGUGAUACACCGCACACACUCAGAUAUGUGUGCUUAGUGUGAGGUUUUUAACGUCCUCGAUAGCACAAACGUUCCAACUGCAUACAAAUUUUAGUUAACUUUUACGCUAUCGAGAACGUUAAAUAGCUCUCACUGAGCACAGUGUACAUAUUGUAAAAUGACGUUGUAGCUUUAGUUUAAUGCGUUGACCGCUAUUCUACUAAGUCGUUCGUUUUAAGACUGUUAAAAGUAUUGUUAUAAAAUCUAAUAUAAAUAAAAUGAAAUACAUUAUUGCCUA
This 1764-nucleotide unclassified non-coding RNA is filed under the name Bombyx mandarina (wild silkworm). RNAcentral describes it as "uncharacterized LOC114242410, transcript variant X1". Lineage: Eukaryota; Metazoa; Arthropoda; Insecta; Lepidoptera; Bombycidae. The record is from RNAcentral.